Molecule: ribosomal RNA, 216 nt
Filed under: Glomeromycotina sp.
Lineage: Eukaryota; Fungi; Glomeromycota
Description: partial small subunit ribosomal RNA
Rfam family: Eukaryotic small subunit ribosomal RNA (bases 40-216)
Source: RNAcentral
GGGUCAGUAGGUUGGUCGUGCCACCGGUACGUACUGGUCUCACUGAUUCCUCCUUCCUGAAGAACCGUAAUGCCAUUAAUUUGGUGUUGCGGGGAAACAGGACUGUUACUUUGAAAAAAUUAGGGUGUUUAAAGCAAGCUAACGCUUGAAUACAUUAGCAUGGAAUAAUGAAAUAGGACGAUCGAUCCUAUUUUGUUGGUUUCUGGGAUUGACGUA